AUGCUGGCGGUGCGCCUAACACAUGCAAGUCGAACGGAGUACCCAUAACAGCGGCUUCGGCCAAUGUUAUGGAAUACUUAGUGGCGAACGGGUGAGUAACACGUGAGGAACCUGCCUUUCAGUGGGGGAUAACAUCUGGAAACAGAUGCUAAUACCGCAUAUGACCACAAUGCCGCAUGGCAAUGUGGUAAAAGGAGCAAUCCGCUGAAAGAUGGCCUCGCGUCUGAUUAGCUAGUUGGUGGGGUAAUGGCCUACCAAGGCGACGAUCAGUAGCCGGACUGAGAGGUUGAUCGGCCACAUUGGGACUGAGACACGGCCCAGACUCCUACGGGAGGCAGCAGUGGGGAAUAUUGGGCAAUGGGGGCAACCCUGACCCAGCGACGCCGCGUGAGGGAAGAAGGUUUUCGGAUUGUAAACCUCUGUCUUCGGGGAAGAUAAUGACGGUACCCGAGGAGGAAGCCACGGCUAACUACGUGCCAGCAGCCGCGGUAAAACGUAGGUGGCAAGCGUUGUCCGGAAUUACUGGGUGUAAAGGGAGCGCAGGUGGGCUAGCAAGUCGAAUGUGAAAUCUAUGGGCUCAACCCAUAAAUUGCGUUUUUUUUCCCCCCGGGGAAAAC
Molecule: ribosomal RNA, 617 nt
Filed under: uncultured bacterium
Lineage: Bacteria
Description: bacterial SSU rRNA
Rfam family: Bacterial small subunit ribosomal RNA
Source: RNAcentral